CCAGAAUUCCAUUUAUGAAAGACCACAAGCUCUAUAGACGCUAGAAUCACAGAGAUAUGAAGACAGCAUAGCAAAGCAGUGCUACCAAGUUCCAGUGAGAAAUGGAGCACUGGAUAUGGGCCCACUAAGGAGAGCUAUAGUCAGAUUCGUAAGGCAUCAACAGGAGUCGGCUUGGAGUCUGGAAGACCUUCCUUGAUUAUGCCCUGUCAACACAGUAGUACAUUGCUGGCAGAGACUCUCAGAGAACAGCCAUAGGAAGCUACUGUCUGCAAACAAACCUUGGCAUCAGUAAUGGUGUAUGGCUUUGAUGUCUGCAGAUGGGAUGGAACGCAAGGUAGGGUGGUGGUCCCUUGAUGAUGUUUACUUAACCCUCUUUUCCAUUUUUGUACUACCUUUACUUUAGAUAGGGACAAUUCUGGGUUAAAAAUUUUUUAGAUGGGUGGCUGGCCCCAUCUGUCCACUGGGGGCCAUGUCUAUCUACUGGAGGUGGUCUCUUCAGGUCUUAUGGCACAGAAGAUACCAUAGAGGAUAUUAACACAACAUUCAAAGAAAAUACAAAGUGCAAAAGCCUCCUAACACAAAACAUCCAGGAAAUUUAGGACACAAUGAAAAGACUAAACCUAAGGGCCAGGAAACAUCUUCAAUAACAUCAGAAAAAAAAUCCCCUAACCUAAAGAAAUGGGUGGUCAUAAAAUCAAUAAUUAAAACACUAAAUACACAAAACAAAGAAAUAUUAAAAAUGAUAAGUUCCAAUGGUCAAGUAACAUAUAAAAGCAGACUUAUAAGAAUUCCAUUAGACUUCACAACAAAGACUCUAAAAGCCAGAACAUCUGGACAGAUGUCAUAUGGACCCUAAGAGAACACAAAUGCCAACCGGGCUACAAUAUCUUUUUUUUAA
This is a non-coding RNA of Rattus norvegicus (Norway rat), 898 nucleotides long. The record is from RefSeq and is a predicted model, not a curated record. Lineage: Eukaryota; Metazoa; Chordata; Mammalia; Rodentia; Muridae.